AAAAAAUGACAACAAUAAAGAAAAAUAAAACAAACGUUGCAAAACAAAAACAAAAUAUAUAAAAAAAAUCGAAAUAUAAAUUAAAAGUAUAACAAAAAAUUAAUAAAUAAAAUUUCAAACUUUCCGCGCGUAGCGCGGGUCAACAACUAGUCAUAUUAUAUAAUACAUAUAUAUAUAUAUAUAUAAUAUUCAAAAUUUUUAAAAAGUAAUUGAGAAAUAACAUCCACAAAAGUUUGGAGGAAUUUAAGAAAGACCAUUUUUCCA
RNAcentral lists this long non-coding RNA (264 nucleotides) under Capsella rubella. RNAcentral's name for it is "long non-coding RNA (CRUB_LNC003173)". The record is from RNAcentral. Lineage: Eukaryota; Viridiplantae; Streptophyta; Magnoliopsida; Brassicales; Brassicaceae.